UGGGGAAUUUUGGACAAUGGGGGAAACCCUGAUCCAGCCAUCCCGCGUGUGCGAUGAAGGCCUUCGGGUUGUAAAGCACUUUUGGCAGGAAAGAAACGUCGCGGGUUAAUACCCCGCGAACUGACGGUACCUGCAGAAUAAGCACCGGCUAACUACGUGCCAGCAGCCGCGGUAAUACGUAGGGUGCAAGCGUUAAUCGGAAUUACUGGGCGUAAAGCGUGCGCAGGCGGUUCGGAAAGAAAGAUGUGAAAUCCCAGAGCUUAACUUUGGAACUGCAUUUUUAAACUACCGGGCUAGAGUGUGUCAGAGGGAGGUGGAAUUCCGCGUGUAGCAGUGAAAUGCGUAGNUAUGCGGAGGAACACCGAUGGCGAAGGCAGCCUCCUGGGAUAACACUGACGCUCAUGCACGAAAGCGUGGGGAGCAAACAGGAUUAGAUACCCUGGUAGUCCACGCCCUAAACGAUGUCAACUAG
This 472-nucleotide ribosomal RNA is filed under the name uncultured bacterium. RNAcentral describes it as "partial 16S ribosomal RNA". It matches the Rfam family "Bacterial small subunit ribosomal RNA", at positions 355 to 819 of the family's 1533-position model. The record is from RNAcentral.